GACGAACGCUGGCGGCGUGCCUAAUACAUGCAAGUCGAACGCAGUGGGGACGGGUGAGUAACACGUGGGUAACCUCCCAUCAGAUGGGAUAACACUUGGAAACAGGUGCUAAACCGAUACUGAUGGAUGAACCCGCGGUUCAUUAGCUAGUUGGUUAGGUAACGGCUCACCAAGGCCACGAUGCAUAGCGGACCUGAGAGGGUGAUCGGCCACACUGGGACUGAGACACGGCCCAGACUCCUACGGGAGGCAGCAGGAGGGAAUCUUGGGCAAUGGACGAAAGUCUGAUCGAGCAACGCCGCGUGAGUGAAGAAGGUUUUCGGAUCGUAAAGCUCUGUUGUUAGAGAAGCGGUAUCUACACAGAAAGCAACGGCUAACUCCGUGCCAGCAGCCGCGGUAAUUC
This 403-nucleotide ribosomal RNA is filed under the name uncultured bacterium. Its description in RNAcentral is "partial 16S ribosomal RNA". It matches the Rfam family "Bacterial small subunit ribosomal RNA", at positions 28 to 526 of the family's 1533-position model. The record is from RNAcentral.